CAUUCGAUUGGCGCCGAUUUGCCUGAUCCGCUUGCGGGCGCCUGAUAAAUCCAGCUAAAGAGGUCUGCAUGACUGCAAC
Bordetella bronchialis is the source of this 79-nucleotide non-coding RNA. NCBI's taxonomy places the organism in Bacteria, Pseudomonadati, Pseudomonadota, Betaproteobacteria, Burkholderiales, Alcaligenaceae. The record is from Rfam.